CAAUUAGUUACUAUAUUUGUCCAAAACGUUACCAAUAAUAAUUUUUCAAGAAUGGAGAUACAUCGAUGGGAUGAACAAUGGACUCUCGCAGACCAUAGCUGUAAUGAAUCAUCGUUAAUAUCACCAACUCAAUGGCUUAUAAUAAGUGCCUUAUUACUUUUCAUUUUAACAUUUUAUUUUUAUUUGAAAAAACUUCGUCAAACUUCAACUGUUUCCGUCGAGCAAGUACCUGAGCCAAGGCAACAAGAUUUUCCUCAAAACAAACCAAAGGAUUCUUCAGAUAUAACAAUUCAGGGUUCAGUUGAAAAUCGAGUCAAGCCCACUGUUUCUAUUGCUAUUGAUAACUUUUUUCAUUCAGAGAAAGCUUUAUAUGAGUUAGGAAAAGACACACUUUUUACGUUAAAAAAAGAGGACUUACCCGCUGGAUUUUUAGAUAUUUGUAAAGAAUGUAAAGUAGUGUUUAUUUCGAAGGUCGAAUCAGAUGAGGAAGAAAAGGCCGUACGAGAUUUUGUAGAAAAUAGGAUAAUCACCCCAUUUAGUGAAUCUAUUUCUCUUCCUUCACAUAGAAUGUUAUUUACAUCAACACUAGAAGGCCGCGUGUCAAUAAUUCGCCAUUUAAAGCCAACUCUUCAUAUUGAUACCGUUAAAUCUGUGGUUGACUCAUUACUCGGGAAGAUUCCCAAUUGUAUUCUUUAUGAAGUUGGAAAAGAUAAUAAUACUUUACAAAAUUGUGCGGAAGUAAUGCAAUCUAUGACAAAUAUUUCAAUUUGAAACUAGACUCAUUUCAAACAACACCUUUUCAUACCUAUUUAUUCAUAAAAAAAACAUGUUUGUAGUUUCAUGUCUUCAUUUUAAAAAAAAAAUUUAGUCUUAAAAGUUCCAUCGGAUCCUGUCCCUUUUUGUGCACAAGGAUUAUAACAGUCACGCUUUAUUUUUUUUUUGCAUGUAAACAAAAUACUAUAAGCUUCAACACAUAAAACCAUUUUUGAUCACCGUGUAUUUAUAAAUUUACUCUGAUAAACAGCUUGACUUGAAUUUUUUAGAGAACUGUACCACGUUUUUGUUUCCUAUUGUUUUUUUUUUUUAUAUUAGAAAAAAAAGUUUGUCGCGAAUUUUUUAUUCCUAAAAAAGAAUUACUUUGAAAAUUAUCUUAAUCAACUUAGGUUCUCAACUUGACAAUGAAUGACGUUGAUUUUGAUCAGCUUGAAGCUGUUUUAGAUAGUCAAACGAGUGUAGAUCAAAGUAAAACAAAGGCUUCUUCAGAUGUUUAUGACGACUGUAAAUCUACUGAAAAAAGUCACCAUUCAAAGGAAACAAAACGUUCACGUUCGCUUCAUCGACGUGAUGCUUCUAAUCAUCGUAAAUCCUGUUCCAGAACGCGUAGUCGGACACACUCGAUUCGAGCGUCCCGUAGUCGUAGUCAUUAUCGUAGUCGUCAUAAUACGCGGCGUCGCUCAAACGGACGCUCAUAUCAUAGAACGCGUUCAAGCCGUUACUCUUCUCGUCAUAUUAGCGAAAGUCCCAAAAGCCGUCGUGCUCGUUUAGAAGAACGCCGUCUAGAGGUUUUAAGAGAAACUGAAGAAGAAAGGCAGAAACAAGACGAAGCACGACGAGCGAAAGAAGAGGAAGAUAAAAAACGGAGAGAAUUUGACGAAGCUAGACGUGAUGAUUUAACUGUUUUAAUUUUAAAUUUAAGUUUGAAAGCAACGGAACGGGAUGUGUGGAAGUUUUUUUCGGAACGUGCUGGGAAAGUACGAGAUAUCCAAAUUAUUCGUGAUUCUCGUAGCGGAAAGUCUAAAGGUGUUGGGUAUGUUGAAUUUUAUUCGCCGCAAGCUGUUCUUCAAGCUCUUGCUUUGUCCGGGUCCUUUAUUAUGGAUAUACCGAUUAUUGUUCAAGCUUCCCAAGCUGAAAAAAAUCGGGCUGCUAAAGCAGCGAAGCAACAAGCAGCUGAAAUAACAGAAGGUGGUCCAAUGAAAUUAUAUGUUGGAGGCCUUACUGAGUCAUUAUGUUGUAUAACUGAAUCGGAUUUACAACAACUCUUUUCUCCAUUUGGUGAUAUUGUACAUGUUGAAUUACCAAAAGAUCCGUAUACAGGAGAUUGCAAAGGGUAUGGAUUCAUUCAAUUUCGUCAAUCUCAAGAUGCUCGUGAAGCUAUGGCAGCUAUGAAUGGUUUUGAUAUAGGUGGAAAAAAAAUUAAGGUUGGUUACGCAACAGAUGUAACACAAAGGGGAGGUCUAUCUGGUUUAGGUGAAAACGGAUUAUCCUUACAAAAUAAUUUAAGUACUGCACAAAAUGCCCUCCAGGCUGCUUUAAUGUACGCAGAACAACAAGCAGAUAAUGAACGUUUAGAUGAUGAAGGUGGUGGACUUUUGUCUGGUGUUAAUCCUCGUAUUUCUUUAAUGCAAAAACUUCAACGCCUCGAUACACCUAAACCUGGUACAAAUACAACAACAUCCAGUUCAUUUUUAACGUCAACCUUCGCUAAUUCGUCUUCAAAUAAUAACACAAACGCAAACACCUUUUCCGCUAAUGUGUGCCUUGAAGGACUUUUUACCGAAACUGAUGUAAAAUCUGAAGGGCCCACAUUUUUGGAUGAAAUCGUUGAAGAUGUACGCACUGAGUGUUCAAAAUAUGGCGUAGUCCUUCAGUUAUGGUUAAACCGAAAUAACGUCGAUGGUAAAGUAUGGGUGAAAUUUGGUGGUCCAGAUCAAGCCGUAAAAGCUCAUCAAGCACUUAAUGGACGUUUUUUCGCAGGCAAUAAAAUAACAGUGUCGUUCAUUCAAGACACUGUAUGGGCAACUAUCUGUGUUUAACAACGGUAUACAGAGACGUGUUUGUGUAAACUAGUAAAGAUUGUAAAUUUUUUUUUUUUCAUAAUUAAAGUAACGGUGCUAACCAGCUACCAAGGGAUAUACCCACAAGUAAACAAAAUGUAUACACGAGAACAAAGCCAUCCAUUUGACAAGGAAAAAAAAAAUAUACUAGUACGUCGAAAGGUCUCGGAAAGUAAAAUGCCUUGUAUUUUGGACGUCUUAUUCGAUUUAAGAAAAAUCAUCCACGAAACGGACACCAUUGUUUUAAAUUUGGCAAAUAACGUCCAGCAAAAUCACCAAACAAAAAUAUACCCUAAACAUUUUAUGAACAACAACAAUUGAAUAAAACGCAAGGAUGUUAUAAAUGGUUAAAAGUUUUUUUUUUUUUUAACAAAGUGACGAUUUUUUUCUCUCUAAAAUUUUUUUUUUUCAAAGGAGUAUUCUUACUGUCAAGAGUGUACGUUCAUAACUAUCGGGACUCCAUGCUAGAGGAGCAGUAGUAGGAUAAAUCUAUUUUAUUUUUUUAGGCAACGUAUCAUAAUAAAAAUGUAUAAUAAGAAAGAAAACCUUUUUCAAUAGAAUUCAAA
Molecule: RNA transcript, 3400 nt
Organism: Hylaeus volcanicus
Lineage: Eukaryota; Metazoa; Arthropoda; Insecta; Hymenoptera; Colletidae
Gene name: RNA-binding protein 39-like
Exons: 22
Source: RefSeq, a predicted model, not a curated record